CGCCUGCAUUCGUAAGUGAUCACGGGCUGCCCGUGUCCUGGUCAUUGGUAGUGCAGGCAGAGGAAAUGCGGGAAAGGUUGCUGUGUUUGGAGGGUCCACAUCUUCACCCUCCUGUCCCAGGAGCUUUCCUACACUCCUCCUUCUCAAAGCUGCACACACCUGGGGCCUCCAGGGGAUUGGGGGCUGCCGUGUGUGUUAUAUCAUGAUUAGAGCUUUCACUUCCUGCUCCCUGCUGUUGGGAACCAGGCUGUGUGUGUUGCUUAAAUUCCCCUUGAUGACCAGCAGAGUCACUGCCACUCAGCCAUGGCACACUGCUGUAAACCUGGUUUUGAUCUCCUUUCAAUCUUUUGCUGAUUAACUACACAUUGAUCAGUGUUGGCCACCCUCACCCUGCCAUAGACCAUCCGCUGUCUUCCUCUGUAGAGUUAACUAUUUUCUCUUUUAUGAGGAAAUAGUGUGUUUGCUUAGGAGUGUUUACUGUCUGGUAACUACUGUGCUAAGCCCUUUCCUGUUGCCUGCCAUCCCUGCUGCGAGCAGGGACAAGCUGGGUGCUCACUCAUGGCAUCUUAUCUGUUGCAGAUAGUCCACUGUGUGCAGAGGCAUGGGAGUUGUCAUGUUGGGAACAUGCUAGACCUCAGUAUCCUUGAGGUAAGAUCUCUGGUUCAUUCUCUGGAAUGUUGGUUCCUUGUAUCUAGUACAGUUCUGUACAUGUUCCCAGGGGCUUUGGGGUUGGUGUAGGGGAGCUGAGAGGUGAGAUGAGAAUGGCACUGUGGGUCCCCAGAUCCGCUGUCCACCCAGCCAACCCAGAUCACCUCUGGCCUUUCCUGUGCCUUCCGGGCUUGCUGCUGGGGGGAAACCUCCAGAGUCCCACUUUGGUAAUAAGAGGUCUCUGCCCUUUCUCCCUGGGCAGCAGGAUGUUGUAAUGGAAAAUGAGUGGACCUAGGCUUCAGAGACUCUGGUCCCCUGGCUUUGAAUCCCCUUCUGCCACUAUCCCAGUCAAGGACUGAUUCAGAACCUAAUUUUCUUCAUUUGGAAAAUAAUGUUCUGAUAGAGGUGACUUUUGUGGUACUUGAGACCAUAUGAUUCCUAUCAUUACCAACCAAUAUUUUCCGAUUGUUUUUGCCCCAUGUGACUUCUCUGUGAUUCCUCCUGGCAAGGAAGUUUUACAGGAAAGCAGGGCCACUUUUGGGAUCCUGUGCUGGGCUGGAUCAUUUUCCUGGACUGGACCUAGUCCACAAGCUGCUGGCAUCUGUUUCUCCUCAUGGAUCUCUCUCUGCCCUUGUAUACACCUGCAUUCAAAAAUGAUCACGGGCUGCCUGUGCUCUGGUCAUCAAUAACGCAGGGAGAGGAAUUGCUGAAAGCCGUUUCCCGUGUUUGGAGGGUUCACACCUGUCCCUUUCAAAUGCUGGCGCUUUCACACAC
Molecule: long non-coding RNA, 1422 nt
Filed under: Homo sapiens (human)
Lineage: Eukaryota; Metazoa; Chordata; Mammalia; Primates; Hominidae
Description: non-protein coding SNHG11:22
Rfam family: Small nucleolar RNA SNORA71 (bases 1288-1421)
Source: RNAcentral